GGGCCCGUAGCCUAGUUUGGAUAAGGCGUCGAGUCACCUGAGCCGAAGACCCAGGGUUCAAAUCCCUGCGGGCCCGCCA
This 79-nucleotide transfer RNA is filed under the name Candidatus Bathyarchaeota archaeon. RNAcentral's name for it is "tRNA-Arg". It matches the Rfam family "tRNA". Rfam says of the family: Transfer RNA (tRNA) molecules are approximately 80 nucleotides in length. Their secondary structure includes four short double-helical elements and three loops (D, anti-codon, and T loops). Lineage: Archaea; Thermoproteati; Candidatus Bathyarchaeota. The record is from RNAcentral.